RNAcentral lists this ribosomal RNA (1442 nucleotides) under metagenome. Its description in RNAcentral is "bacterial SSU rRNA". It matches the Rfam family "Eukaryotic small subunit ribosomal RNA", at positions 246 to 1461 of the family's 1831-position model. The record is from RNAcentral.
CUGAAUCCUGGCAAACAUAUGCAAAUCGCAGUUUGUAGCAUCCAGUUUACUGGAUGUUAUAGCGAUGAUUUGUAGGGUCUUCCGACUCAUCAGCCAUGUUGGUACUCUAUGGGUCUACCAAGGCAUCGACGGGUGACGGAGGAUUGGGGUUUGAUCCCGGAGAGGGAGCCUGAGAGAUGGCUACCACUUCUAAGGAAGGCAGCAGGCGCGCAAAUUACCCAAUGCCAAAACGGCGAGGUAGUGACAAUCAAUAACGACGUGGACUCUCUAAGAGGGUCCACGAUCGGAAUGAGCUCGCCCCAGACAAUCGAGCAAGUAACGAUCGGAGGAAAAGCCUGGUGCCAGCACCCGCGGUAAUUCCAGCUCCGAUAGCAUAUAUUAAAGUUGUUGCAGUUAAAAAGCUCGUAGUUGGACCCGUGUGCAAUUUGGUUGCAUCAACUCUGCCGCGAGUAGUGUGAAUAUUGCAGAUUGUGUACAAGAUUUUUUAAAGCAACCUUUGAGAUGGACAGUGUUACAACCAUUGGAACAUCGAAUUGGAAUGUUUUUAUUAGAAAAAAAAUACCUGGAACAAAUUAGGGUGUUCAAAGCAGGCGGCUCUUAGAGUGUCACGAAUAGGUCAGCGUGGGAUAUAAAGUGGUACCCCUGUAACCCAUUUUGGGUUUGGUUUUUCGUUUGAAAAUAAGAAUCCAGAACGUUCGUGCUUGAAAAGCAACGAUGCGUGCUUGCACGUAUCGUUGUUUUUGUUUGGUCCUUGGAGGGAAAUUCAGUGGGAACGAUUGAUGAGGGCGGUCAGUGGCGUCGGUAUUUGGCCGUCAGAGGUGAAAUUCUUGGACCGGCCAAAGACCAUCAUCAGCGAAAGCAUUCGCCAGGUACACUCUUUUUCGAUCAAGAACGAAAGUCGGGGGAUCGAAGAUGAUCAGAUACCGUCGUAGUCCCGACCGCAAACGUUGCCAACCAGGGAUCAGGAGGCGUCGCAUGGACGGCCCUUCUGGCACCCCCAGGGAAACCUAGAGUCUUUGGGUUCCGGGGGGAGUAUGGUCGCAAGGCUGAAACUUAAAGGAAUUGACGGAAGGGCACCACCAGGCGUGGGGUUUGCGGCUUAAUUCGACCCAACACGGGAAACCUUACCAGGUCCGGACUCCGUAAGGAUUGACAGACUGAUGGACCUUUCUUGAUCCUGAGGGUGGUGGUGCAUGGCCGUUCUUGGUUGGUGGAGCGAUCCGUCAGGUCAAUUCCGUUAACGAACGAGACCUCGACCCCCUAAAUAGUGGCGUUUGCUCUACCAACUCGGGGAAAAUCUCGUAUAACAAACGGUGCUUUGUUGUAGUUCUACUGCCAUGAAGUUAUUGUUGUUGUAUGGGGUUACCUCGGUGGGGCAUACGAACUACUUCUUAGAGGGACGGCUCGCGUUUAGCGAGAGGAAGCUUGAGGCAAUAACAGGU